This is a long non-coding RNA of Vitis riparia (riverbank grape), 407 nucleotides long. RefSeq lists it as uncharacterized. The transcript is spliced from 3 exons. The record is from RefSeq and is a predicted model, not a curated record. NCBI's taxonomy places the organism in Eukaryota, Viridiplantae, Streptophyta, Magnoliopsida, Vitales, Vitaceae.
AAUGGAAAAGAAGAAAAUCGUGUUGAAGUUGGAAUUCAACGAUGACAAAACCAAGCAGAAGGCCAUGAAGAAUGUCUGCAGCCAUUCAGGUGUUGAAUCAGCGUCCGUGGACAUGAAGGAAAAGAAACUGACAGUAGUUGGGGAUGUUGAUAUAAUAAUUAUGGUGAAACAAUUGAGAAAGCUUUGUCACACAGAUUUAGUCACGGUUGGGUCACCAGCAUAAGCAGCAGACAAGAUGAAAGAGGAGAAAGAAAAUGGAGCCAACGAGCGGUGAAAUUAUAAUUCAGACUUAAAGUUAAAUUAGAAUAGGUUUUGGAAUUGGACGGAUAAAUAUUAGAAAUUGUUAUUUAUUUAAGCUUUUAAUUCGGAAUUUUAAUCUAAUUGGAAUUGGAGUUCUAUUACAAAUA